UGUAGCGCGUGAUAGAUUCGAUGUUUGUGUAUACGUACAUCGGCGACACGUUAAAACUCUUUACCAUUCAAGGUUUGUUUAUCGCGUUAAUUUGCGAAAUGCCAUCACUAGCGGAUAAUAGCUUUUAUGCGCGCGAUGAUCGUAUCGUUUUUUUCGCGUCUGUUUUUCCAACUUAAUAGCGUAGUGCGCGUCGCGGUCGCGUGUGAUUAACGGUAUCGUGUAAAAUAUCGCACUCCGUCGUAUUUCGGGAUGAUCGUAACCGAUUAUGUUGUCGCGUGCGAGGACCGAUGAAGGACGCGACGGCGUGGAAGCGGCCCAGGAAGCCCUCGGGAUGAGUAAUCACCAUCGCGAGAUUGUUCUAGUCGUAUUUGUCAUGGCCGUCCUGGCGGGCGUCUCGGCGCAGGAUUUCAGGCAUUUUUUCGCCGGAUUUGGUCCUUAUGGUGACUUUAGGGCCGCACUAAGGGACCCGAGAUCGAAUAGGGGUCCGGUGUUAUUCCCACCUGGGCCGCCACCCAACACAGCUGACAGCAGCGGCGUCGUCGUGGGCGCGAGCGGAUACGGAUUCGUGCCACCCAGCGCAGGUUACUUUACCUACUUCUACUACUAAACGUCCGGCAAUCGGGGGACUGCAGGAAGACGACAGCGCGAAGAAAAAAAUGGUAGUCAAGGUUUCGGUUGUCACGACUCGUAGACUACUAACUGGACAUUGUGGUAGACUAGUAGAUCAGCGUUACAUGGUGGUGCGUGUCCAUUGAAGGAAGGACGAGCCUUAAAAGCUAAACUGGAGCCGCGCGUGUUUGGCAGCUUAGAGAUUCGAAAGCGCACGGAGAACAUCGAUACACAGCUCGACUUGCCAUGGAGUAGAAUCAUCUGCGAUUUCAAAUAAGGUAAAAAUAUUGCAGUUUAUUAUAGUGAGAGAAGAAAUAUAUUUUAUGGAAUAUGAUUAUUCCAUUUUAUUAUUGUCUCGUUGAAUCUACAGAGAUUAAUGACGAUUUAGAUUUUUAUAAAUCAAUGUGUUAAAUUAAAAAAAAGUAAAAGACAUCAAUUUUAUUAUCUUAGAUAUCAA
Wasmannia auropunctata (little fire ant) is the source of this 1066-nucleotide RNA transcript. RefSeq lists it as uncharacterized. NCBI's taxonomy places the organism in Eukaryota, Metazoa, Arthropoda, Insecta, Hymenoptera, Formicidae. The transcript is spliced from 5 exons. The record is from RefSeq and is a predicted model, not a curated record.